RNAcentral lists this ribosomal RNA (957 nucleotides) under Promicromonospora thailandica. Its description in RNAcentral is "bacterial SSU rRNA". It matches the Rfam family "Bacterial small subunit ribosomal RNA", at positions 500 to 1439 of the family's 1533-position model. Lineage: Bacteria; Bacillati; Actinomycetota; Actinomycetes; Micrococcales; Promicromonosporaceae. The record is from RNAcentral.
ACUCCGUGCCAGCAGCCGCGGUAAUACGUAGGGCGCAAGCGUUGUCCGGAAUUAUUGGGCGUAAAGAGCUCGUAGGCGGUCUGUCGCGUCUGGUGUGAAAUCCCAUGGCUCAACUGUGGGCUUGCAUCGGGUACGGGCAGACUAGAGUGCUGUAGGGGAGACUGGAAUUCCUGGUGUAGCGGUGGAAUGCGCAGAUAUCAGGAGGAACACCGAUGGCGAAGGCAGGUCUCUGGGCAGUUACUGACGCUGAGGAGCGAAAGCAUGGGGAGCGAACAGGAUUAGAUACCCUGGUAGUCCAUGCCGUAAACGUUGGGCACUAGGUGUGGGGCCAGUUCCACUGGUUCUGUCGAGUUGACGCCGUAGCUAACGCAUUAAGUGCCCCGCCUGGGGAGUACGGCCGCAAGGCUAAAACUCAAAGGAAUUGACGGGGGCCCGCACAAGCGGCGGAGCAUGCGGAUUAAUUCGAUGCAACGCGAAGAACCUUACCAAGGCUUGACAUGUACGAGAAAGCCCCAGAGAUGGGGUUCUCUUUGGACACUCGUACACAGGUGGUGCAUGGUUGUCGUCAGCUCGUGUCGUGAGAUGUUGGGUUAAGUCCCGCAACGAGCGCAACCCUUGUCUCAUGUUGCCAGCGGGUUAUGCCGGGGACUCAUGGGAGACUGCCGGGGUCAACUCGGAGGAAGGUGGGGAACAGAAUGACGUCAAAUCAUCAUGCCCCUUAUGUCUUGGGCUUCACGCAUGCUACAAUGGCCGGUACAGAGGGCUGCGAUACCGUGAGGUGGAGCGAAUCCCAAAAAGCCGGUCUCAGUUCGGAUCGGGGUCUGCAACUCGACCCCGUGAAGUCGGAGUCGCUAGUAAUCGCAGAUCAGCAACGCUGCGGUGAAUACGUUCCCGGGCCUUGUACACACCGCCCGUCAAGUCACGAAAGUUGGUAACACCCGAAGCUCACGGCCCAAC